GUCUAUGGCCAUACCACAGAAUAUGCCCAAUCUCAUCUGAUCUUGGGACUGGUUUGUAUGUGGAUGGGAUACCACUUUGGAAUACUGGAUGCCAUAGGCU
Molecule: ribosomal RNA, 100 nt
Filed under: Phascolarctos cinereus (koala)
Lineage: Eukaryota; Metazoa; Chordata; Mammalia; Diprotodontia; Phascolarctidae
Source: RNAcentral